UGCUGUAUCCAGUUACUGGUCCGUCAGCUUCUCUGCCUGCUUCUCUUCUGUUUAGCUCCUAUAUUGGAUUGGCUUUCUAGUAAAUGGUUUGUCUUGUUUAGUUUCAUGUUGCUGGCCUCAGGUAGCUGCCUCUGCUAUAACUGCUCUACCGACUACAGGUGUUCUUCCGUGCUUGUCUUAAGACUUAUUGCAAGAAAAGAAAAAAAGCCUGGUGGAUGUGGUGAUGUAGGAGGUUCAAGUUUAACGAGUAAUUCUCUGUGUUGCUCUUCUAUACUAGGGUCUUUUGCUCAUUCAUACUUUUUUUUUUUUCCAGUGGCAUAUCCUCAGGUGGGUAAUGCUAAAGCCUGAUACACAAUUUUAGCUACUCUUUUGGGCAAGAUAUUGCCAUGAUCACUUUUCUCUCAAAUAUGUUUUCGAAAUGGCUAUUGUUUCGGUUUUCUCACUUUUUAUCGAUUGAACCUUCUGGUCUC
This is a long non-coding RNA of Capsella rubella, 470 nucleotides long. RefSeq lists it as uncharacterized. The record is from RefSeq and is a predicted model, not a curated record. NCBI's taxonomy places the organism in Eukaryota, Viridiplantae, Streptophyta, Magnoliopsida, Brassicales, Brassicaceae. The transcript has 2 exons.